CGUCGCCACGGUAAUACGAACCGUGCGAACGUUAUUCGGAAUUACUGGGCUUAAAGCGCGUGUAGGCGGGCCGCCACGUCGGCUGCUGAAAUCCCCCGGCUCAACCGGGGAACGGGCACCGAUACGGCCGGGCUGGAGGGGGGUAGGGGGGCCUGGAACUUCCGGUGGAGCGGUGAAAUGCGUUGAGAUCGGAAGGAACGCCCGCGGCGAAAGCGAGGCCCUGGACCCUUUCUGACGCUGAGACGCGAAAGCCAGGGGAGCGAACGGGAUUAGAUACCCCGGUAGUCCCUGUCUCUUAUAC
Molecule: ribosomal RNA, 301 nt
Filed under: uncultured bacterium
Lineage: Bacteria
Description: partial 16S ribosomal RNA
Rfam family: Bacterial small subunit ribosomal RNA
Source: RNAcentral